Molecule: transfer RNA, 76 nt
Filed under: Candidatus Woesebacteria bacterium
Lineage: Bacteria; Candidatus Woeseibacteriota
Description: tRNA-Thr
Rfam family: tRNA
About the family: Transfer RNA (tRNA) molecules are approximately 80 nucleotides in length.
Source: RNAcentral
GCCGAGGUAGCUCAGUUGGCAGAGCGGCGGUAUCGUAAACCGCAGGUCGUGGGUUCGAUCCCCACUCUCGGCUCCC